Xylaria intraflava is the source of this 101-nucleotide non-coding RNA. NCBI's taxonomy places the organism in Eukaryota, Fungi, Ascomycota, Sordariomycetes, Xylariales, Xylariaceae. The record is from the annotation of a GenBank genome assembly.
GGCUUCGUGGCCCAAUGGCAAGGCGUCUGACUACGAUGGAGGCCGCACUUGCGUCCUUACCGAUAAUCAGGAGAUUCUGGGUUCGACCCCCAGCGAGGUCA